GAGGGGGUUUGUUCGAAAUGUAGAGAAUAGGUCAGUUUUGUAAUAAUUACAGUAAUAACCCAGUAACUACGGUUAUAACAGAACACAUUACGUAAAUAGAAAUGAUGGGCAAUCGCCUUCUGUUUAAACAAUGUAAGCACAUUCCAUUCUAAAACGGGUAAAGAAAACUUAGCUAAAUCUCCACCAUCGAGUUUAACCCCUUAGGGACCAA
Pelobates cultripes (western spadefoot toad) is the source of this 211-nucleotide non-coding RNA. The record is from the annotation of a GenBank genome assembly. Lineage: Eukaryota; Metazoa; Chordata; Amphibia; Anura; Pelobatidae.